RNAcentral lists this long non-coding RNA (3215 nucleotides) under Marmota monax (woodchuck). The record is from RNAcentral. Lineage: Eukaryota; Metazoa; Chordata; Mammalia; Rodentia; Sciuridae.
CAAAGAUCAUUGCUUCGAAAUAGCUUGUGCAAUCCUCCUCGCUGGGCCUUUGAAUCUCCCCUUCACCAGCCUUCAAUGCACCCUGCUCUCCACGAGGUGUUGGCUCCCCACUGUGCUGUUCCCACUGAUCCCAGGUAGGCAUCAGGAUCCCUUUAAAAGUCUCUCUCUGUGUUCUUCAAUUAAAGUUUGACCCCAUAUCAGCAUACUGUCUGCAUUAUUAGGAGUAGUUUUUUAAAAAUAGAUUAGCACUUCUUACUUUAACACACUCAUUCAAAAAGAGAUUUUUAUAUUGCGUUCCUAGGCAGAAGAUCUUUAUAACUUGUGACUAAUUAAAGAUAAGCGUGAGAAAUGUGUCACUCUAUUUUUUAAAUUAAAGAAAUAGCAAAAAUAAAAAGUAAAUGGGUAAUUCCAACUAAUAACACAUCUGCUUUACAAACAUGUACACCCAAAAAUGAGUCACUCAGUGUGGAAAUUGCACUGUUGAUGGCUAAAGGUUAUUUAGCAAUAUGCAGAUCAUCAGGUGGAAAUUGUAUGGCAUUUACAUCUCCCAAUGCUCUUGAUGCUGUGUUGUGACAAGAGGGUCAGACUCCCUGGGCUCAAUCUGGGGUAGGGAUUCAGGAUAAAGAGAGAAAUGCACUGAUCAAAGGAAACACCCAUGAGCCAUCAAGAUGCAAAAGCACUCGGGAGCAACUGUAACAACUGUCACUCCUGAGCAACAUGCUCGCCCCGUGUAAAACAAGGAAAUGUGAAAAGGCAAAGAGAAUUGGCUUGCAACAUUCAGCUCCCUGGCUGGCCCUCUCGUCCAGCCCCUCAUUACUGCCCCUUUAUAAAUAUUGGAGCCCCAACCCAAGUAGGGUCUGCUCACUUCACAGGAGCCCACACUGUCCUUGAAUGUGUACCUAUUUCCUAGGCAAAGCUCUGACUAUGCCUUUGACUGGUAUGUGCUGAAAUUCUUUUCUGUCACAUAUGUCAAGGACCCCCCUGGUCCUGGCUCAAAUCCCCCCUUCUCUCUGGGAACUCCUCGGACCCUUCUUCAGAGAAAUCUCUUCUCCCAUGACGAAUCCAGUACUAAGGCUGACUGUCUGAAUGUCUGAAAGCAGUUUUGGACUCCAGGUGCCUCCCAGAGAGGAGAGCUAUAUGUCCCAUGGACAUAAAUGGCACAAGCUCCUGGCAUUCUGGCUGUCCACAGGAGGCCAUCCCUCUAGGACUGCUGAGAAAGAAGGUAUGAGAGUCAGCUACAGUAGCCAAUAGGCCCAAAGUUCAAUGGCUUAUUUUGCUUACGUGAAGAGCUAGAGUGCUGUUCUGGUCAAUAAUGUGGUGCCCUCCACGUGGUCACCUAUGGAUCUUGACCAGGGUGCAGGCAGGCUUUCUGUAGAUGGUGAAUAUGGAGGUUUUGUGGGCCAGGCAGUCUAUGUGGCCUCCACCCAGCUCUGCUGCUGAAGGGACAGCAGCCCUAGAUGUUACACGAGCACACGGCAGGGCUGUGUUCCAAUACAACUUGUUUUUAUAAACAGACACUGGACCAGAUUUGGCCUUGGGCUGUAGUGUGCUGACCCCAGGCUAGACCCUGGUGGCUUUCCUUGUUGUUUCCUCUGUUGUCAUGAGUGGUGGCUACAGUCAGCUGGAGGUGGAGGAGCAUGGAGGAGUGAUCACAGGGCUCCAGGGUCCAGCCUGGAGAGGCGCUCCUGCCUGCCAGGCACAUCCCCUGGGAGGGACUCAGUCACCUGAUCAGUCCAAGGGAGGCUGGGAAGGGAGGUGGUUUGCAUGUGGCCCAAGAAAUCAGGGCAGAUUUAGUGAACUCCCAGGAAUCCCUGCCACAAGUAAUAUACAUUAAAUCAUGAACUUUAUAUUAGGAAUUGUUUUUCUAAUACAUGACAAAAGAAAUGUCAUGUCAUAUAAUAAAUUAUAUUAAUAAUUUAGUCUGUGCACCAUCAUUAAAGACCCCACCAAACUCCAAGAAUAAAUACACUGCACUUUUGUGUUUGUUUGAAUCAAAUCAUGAGAGCCUGAUCGCAAAACCAGUCCUUGUUUGCUAGGGAUAUUUUGUAAAGGUUUUCUUUAGCCUUUUAAUCAGAAAGAAACAAAAGGAAAUUCAGAAAGAAACGUAAAAAUAUUUGAUGCAGAAAAUUAAGAUUGAACUAUAGCCCAGAAAGUGUUCUGCAAAAAAAUCAAGCCAUAGAUGAUAUUACCAACAUCUGAGUAAAUAGUGAUCUCAAAACAGAAAGGUGUUUUGUGUGCUUUCUUCCUUUGAGAAUUCUUUGUUUUUAUAUCUAUUAAGCUCAAAAUAAUCAGUGAUGUCUGCUGAUGGUCCUGGGUAUUGAGAGAUGGGCAGGACUUGGAGAAGAAGAGAAGAGAGGACAUUAGCACUGGUGCCAGGCAGGCUUGGGUGCUGCCUGGGGGAUUCAGUCCAACUGGAAAGUUGAAAAGAAUUUGAACACACUGCAUGCCCAGACAAUGGGAAAUCACUGAACGACAACUACAAAGUAAAAAGUGUGUAUCUGAAAGUAGAGUCUGACGGAAGCAGGUGAGCCAUUUGGAGGCACCAGCAGAGUGAUUAAGAGAAACACAAGACACUCAAUGGGAGGGGCAGAUAGGCCCUCCUUUUCAAACAGUUAAGUCCUCUGAACUCCACCAGCACACUCCACACACGCUCCCCGGGAAUUCUCCCAUUCUCCCGAAGGCCACGCGGCUCCUCCAGGAACCAGCAACCGGAAAUAUCCCUCCUCUGGCACUUCCCCAACCAAUGGGAACUCAGGAAUCCCCGCGAGAGCUCAAGCGGAACUCAACAGGAACUCCGCCAGAACUCAAAAGUCAUCAUCUUAAUGGCUCGCUAGCGUCACGUCUCAACCACUACUUCUGGCAAAAAUGCCAUGCAUCAUCCCGACUGGGCUGUGGCCCUCAACAUCUCCCCCCUUCUGUUUAAUUAAACAACAAGCAAUGUGGCUUAGGGACCGUGCCUGUUAGACUGUCCAGUACUACAUAUGGUCCUUACCCGUUAUCAGAUGAGCUGACCUCAAGGCGUCAGCCUCCUGUCUUAGGUUGGUACCACUGCAAUUGGAUCUUACCCGUCACUGACUACCGGUCUAGCAUACAGCCAUACUUGUGGAUAGGCCUAUGCACCAGUGGGGGGGGUGAGGUUCUUUGCCUCACUUCUGUUGGCCCCCAAAUUUGGCCUUUGCCAGUGGGGGGGUGAGGUUCUUUGCCUCACCUCUGUU